GCAAUCGACCACACCAUACAGAAAAUGGCGCUUCCCGUUCGCUCAGCGCACCCAAGCUGUAUUGGGCCCGGCUAGUAGUCAAGUGGGUGACCAUUGGCGAAUCCCGGGUGUCGAUUGUU
This is a ribosomal RNA of Cyphellophora europaea CBS 101466, 119 nucleotides long. The record is from Rfam. Lineage: Eukaryota; Fungi; Ascomycota; Eurotiomycetes; Chaetothyriales; Cyphellophoraceae.